This 377-nucleotide ribosomal RNA is filed under the name uncultured bacterium. RNAcentral's name for it is "bacterial SSU rRNA". It matches the Rfam family "Bacterial small subunit ribosomal RNA", at positions 521 to 896 of the family's 1533-position model. The record is from RNAcentral.
UAAUACGGGGGGGGCAAGCGCUGUUCGGAAUUACUGGGCGUAAAGGGCGCGUAGGCGGCCAGGCAAGUCCUUCGUGAAAUCCCACAGCUCAACUGUGGAACUGCGGAGGAAACUUCUUGGCUUGAGCCCGGGAGAGGGGAGUGGAAUUCCCAGUGUAGCGGUGAAAUGCGUAGAUAUUGGGAGGAACACCGGUGGCGAAGGCGGCUCCCUGGACCGGUACUGACGCUGAGGCGCGAAAGCUAGGGGAGCAAACGGGAUUAGAUACCCCGGUAGUCCUAGCUGUAAACGUUGAGCACUUGGUGUGGCGGGUGUCGACCCCUGCCGUGCCGAAGCUAACGCAUUAAGUGCUCCGCCUGGGGAGUACGGUCGCAAGGCUG